GUGGGGAAUAUUGCACAAUGGGGGAAACCCUGAUGCAGCGACGCCGCGUGGGUGAAGAAGUACUUCGGUAUGUAAAGCCCUAUCAGCAGGGAAGAAAGAGCGGAGGAAUCCGCUUGGGACAGUACCUGAAUAAGCAGCCCCGGCUAACUACGUGCCAGCAGCCGCGGUAAUACGUAGGGGGCAAGCGUUAUCCGGAUUUACUGGGUGUAAAGGGAGCGUAGACGGCAAUGCAAGUCUGGAGUGAAAGCCCGGGGCUCAACCCCGGGACUGCUCUGGAAACUGUAAAGCUAGAGUGCGGGAGGGGCAGGCGGAAUUCCUGGUGUAGCGGUGAAAUGCGUAGAUAUCAGGAGGAACACCGGCGGCGAAGGCGGCCUGCUGGACCGUAACUGACGUUGAGGCUCGAAAGCGUGGGGAGCAAACAGGAUUAGAAACCCGAGUAGUCC
RNAcentral lists this ribosomal RNA (443 nucleotides) under uncultured bacterium. Its description in RNAcentral is "bacterial SSU rRNA". It matches the Rfam family "Bacterial small subunit ribosomal RNA", at positions 354 to 796 of the family's 1533-position model. The record is from RNAcentral.